CAGUAGCCGCGGGAAUACGAAGGGGGCUAGCGUUGUUCGGAUUUACUGGGCGUAAAGCGCACGUAGGCGGACGCUUAAGUCAGGGGUGAAAUCCCGAGGCUCAACCUCGGAACUGCCUUUGAUACUGGGUGUCUUGAGUCCGGGAGAGGUGAGUGGAACUGCGAGUGUAGAGGUGAAAUUCGUAGAUAUUCGCAAGAACACCAGUGGCGAAGGCGGCUCACUGGCCCGGAACUGACGCUGAGGUGCGAAAGCGUGGGGAGCAAACAGGAUUAGAUACCCGCGUAGUCCCUGUCUCUUAUAA
RNAcentral lists this ribosomal RNA (301 nucleotides) under uncultured bacterium. RNAcentral describes it as "partial 16S ribosomal RNA". It matches the Rfam family "Bacterial small subunit ribosomal RNA", at positions 509 to 809 of the family's 1533-position model. The record is from RNAcentral.